RNAcentral lists this non-coding RNA (30 nucleotides) under Homo sapiens (human). Lineage: Eukaryota; Metazoa; Chordata; Mammalia; Primates; Hominidae. The record is from RNAcentral.
GCCUUGGCAUUUCUAUGUUAGUUGGAAGGA